Tigriopus californicus is the source of this 639-nucleotide long non-coding RNA. RefSeq lists it as uncharacterized. Lineage: Eukaryota; Metazoa; Arthropoda; Copepoda; Harpacticoida; Harpacticidae. The record is from RefSeq and is a predicted model, not a curated record. The transcript is spliced from 4 exons.
AAUUGUGAAUCAUGCAUCACUUGUAUGAUCAUCAAUUUAUCUCUCUAGAAAUAACAUAGAUAUGUUUUUAGUGCAAACAGAGUACAUACGCUACUGUUUCAAUAGAGGGUUUCAAGGUUUUCAAGUUGGUGUUUUCAACUUCAGAGGCAAUCAUUGUUUUCACGGCUGCUUCCUCAAUAAAUGCAUAAGAUGUGGCACAAUUUUGGACAAAACGGCAAUGUAUUGUUUUACUGAAAUCAAGAUUUUGACGGGUGCCCUUUGAAAAAGCGGAGAAGUUCAGCUGGUCUGAGGUCCAAUAUCAUUCCAACCUUUGUCGAGGUGUAGUUCUUCUGAUCGUUCACAUUUUUGAAGUGGAGCCACUCGCCAAACCUCGCACGACGGAGCAUCCAGGGUCUUAAGGAUGACCCAAUGAUAAGUCAGCUUGGAUCCUCCCAUCCAUGAAGAUUCGCAGAACUCUGGAAAGAUUUGACCUUCGCUAUGCUACCGAAGCCAGCCGUCGAAUCAUUCUACAUUUUUUCAUAUAACUAUGAUCAAGUUCAGAAUGGUUUCAGUUUCAAGGAGUGACCUGACACUUCAACUUUUCUUUGGCAAUGCAUAAUGCUUGAGUGGACAAUGGUUGAGAGGAAAACCGAAACAUAA